This 506-nucleotide long non-coding RNA is filed under the name Mytilus galloprovincialis (Mediterranean mussel). The record is from RNAcentral. Lineage: Eukaryota; Metazoa; Mollusca; Bivalvia; Mytilida; Mytilidae.
UGGGAUUAAUUGUAAUCAACAUAUUCCAAUGAGACUGAAAAAUGCUUUUUUUUAUUAUGAUAAAUAAUAAUUUUACCUGCCGUAGUCGUGCGUAAAAUAUAUUUCGGUAUUUCUCUUACGAAAAUGACUUGUUUAAUGGAACAAAACGUAUUAUUUGUAAACUUUCUCUUAACUCUUCACAAUAGGCUUUUAAAAAUAACCUUUCAACUGUAUAUUCCGAAAAUUUUGUGAAAAUCGAAUAAGUGGCAAUUCUUAGCUUUCAUACCUUAACUUUCAUUGAUAAAACAUAAUAUUGACUCGUCCAGUGUCCAGUUUGAAGGUCAUUUUAGUUAUUGUACACAUUCAUGCACGUUCUAAUUAAUCAAUAGUCAUGUAUGAAAAGCAUAAACAAGUUUGAAGGUAAACUAAUAACAACUUAAUCCAAUCAAAUUGCCUACGAUUCAAUAACAAUGACCAGUCCACAUCAGAAAAAUGUAUAGGGGUAAACUGGGUAGGGAGAAAAUGUC